AAAAGGUUUAUUUGACUUACACUUAUUCCAUGCCACUGGUCAUCACUGUAGGAAGUCAAGACAAGAACUCAAACCUAGAUGGAGGAGCUGAUGCAGAGGUCAUGGAGGAUGAUGCUUAUUGACCCACUCUUCAUGGCUUGCUUAGCCUGCUUCCUUAUAGAACCCAGGAUUACCAGUCCAAUGAUAGCACCAGCCACAGUGUGCUAGAUCAAUCACUAAUUAAGAAAAUGCCCUACAGCCAGGUCUUAUGAAGGCAUUUUUUUCAAUUCAGGUUCACUCCUUUCAGAAACUCUAACUUAUAUCAAGCUGACAUAAAACUACCCAGCAUCCUCACACCCACUCCAAAGAUACUGGCAAAGGUACACUCUUAGUUUAGGUUACAAACUAUCUCCACAUCAAGCUAGGAUAUAUGGUUUACUAUCUACAGGAGCUGUUUGGGCCAAGUAUCAACCCAAAUUUAAGUCAAAAUUAUUUCAUUAUCCUCUAAGAUAGUAGUUUUCAACCUUUGAGUCGCAACCCCUUUGGGGUCGAAUAGCAAACAUUUUACAUUGCAGAUAUUUACAUUAUGAUUUAUAACUAGCAAAAUUACAGUUUUGAAAUAGCAAAGAAAUAAUUUUAUGGGGGGAUUGUCUUAGGGUUCUAUUGCUAUGAAGAGACUCCAUGACCAAGGCAACUAUUAAUAAGGAAAACAUUUAAUUGGGACUAGCUUACAGUUUCAGAGGUUCAGUCCAUUAUCAUCAUGGUGGGAAGCAUGGCAGAUAUGGUGCCGGAGAAGUACGUUGUGCUUAGUGAAGAAGCCAGCCUGUUGGCUUCAGUUCAGAUGGGAUUCUAGAGAAGGCAAUAGUAUAAGAGCAGAGACUGGAUCAGAGGUUGCUAGAGAUUGAGGGUGGGCAUGGUAAUGGUCUGAACCCAAAUGGAUAGUACAUUUUCAAGGAAAUUCUUUGGUAACUCUGUGGGCUAAUUUUAUGUCAACUUGGCACAAGCUGGAGUCAUCUCAGAGGAAGAAGCCUCCAUUGAGAAAAUGCUGGCAUGAGAUCAGGGUGUAGGUAGGCUUAUAGGGCAUUUUCAUAAUUAGUGAUUAAUGUGGGAGGAUCCAACCUAUGGUGGAUGGUAUUAUCUAUGGCCUGGUGGUCCUAGUUGCUAUAAGAAAGCAAGCUGAGCAAAUCAUGAAGACUGAGAUAUUAAACAGCACUCCUCCAUGGCCUCUGCAUCAGCUCUUGCCUCCAGGUUCCUGACCAGUUUGAAUUCCUGACUUAGCUUCCCUUAGUGGACUGUUAUUCAGUCUGUGUAAGACAAAUAAACCCUGGUUCAUUGCAGCAAUAGACACCCCACCUAAGGCAGUGGCAUAAAAAGAAACAUUUAACAUUAUUAAUCAAUUAUAGCAAGUUAUACACCCCCAAAGAAGAAAUUUUACUGUAUAAAAAUUAAAAAUGAAUUUGAAAGUUUUAUAAUAAACUUUUAGGAUAUUUAAGAUUCAAAACUCCCCCCAAAUCCCUUCAUAUUUGAUAUGGGUAAGGCAAAUGUCCUACUUUUUGUCAAACAUUCAAUAAGCAAGUCUUUUCAGGCUUCUAUAAUCAGAGUGCACUCACUCUAAUUAUAAAACAUGUUAAUUUUUAAAACUAUGAGUGAGAACUUUUUAAAGAAAAAGAACCUAAAAGUGAGGCAAGAUACUUGGCAAGUCCAAAUCUACUUAACUCAGUUUUCUUUAUGUAAGGCACAUUUUUUAACUAAGUAAAAUCAUCCUGCCUGACUAUCUACAUGACUGAAGCUUAAUAUUAUCCACUGACUUCAGUCUCACCUCAGUCACAGUCAUGUUAAAUCAUCAACAUUCUAGACUGUUGUUUUUAAGAAUUAUGUGUAUCCCUAGUAGAACUUAAGACUCCUUUGCAGGGGGGUUGGGGAUUUAGCUCAGUGGUAGAGCGCUUGCCUAGCAAGCACAAGGCCCUGGGUUUGGUACCCAGCUCCGAAAAAAAAGAAAAAAGAAAAAAAAUUCCUUUGCAGGGAAAUUUGCAGGGAAAUAAAAAAGUGAGCCUUACAUUUUUGUAUUUUUACACUAGUUCAGGUGUGAGAUAUUAAGGAGAAGCUUUGCAGUUCAGAUAACAUGAGCUUUGGAAUCACCUAAAAUCAUUUUCUUACACUAUGGAAGUCACUUGUUUAGUAGGCAAGAAUUAGAGGAACAGAAUCAGAAACAGAUGUUCCCCUUAUUCUCAGUCAAUUUCCAUGCCUCUGGGGUCAGAUCACAAAGACUUAGAAGUACUUCUGCUAAUUAGUCAUUAUUGAGAUUAAUUUGCUAAAACAGUUUGAAAGUGGCAUUGCUUUUAGUAUUGCGCAUCGAUACUAGUCCCUGAAGCUAAAUGGGUUUCUUUCUUUUCCCAGUUUAAUGUCCAGUUAGGACAGAUAGUAUUUGGUGUAUAUGCAGCAAACAUUAUUCAAUAAGUAUAUGAUUAUUGACAGAAAUGAGCUUUUAAUAAAUACUAUUUCCACAUAGUUGAGUCUCAAAUUGUUUAUCUCUUCUCACUAGAGAAUCUUGUUUCAAACUUCCAACAUAAAACUACCUCUGGGCAUUGGUCUCUGCUUACUUUCUAGUAUCCUGUUUUGUCCUCAGUACUUUCCAGAUCAAAGAGCCAUCAAGUUCCCCAACUGUUGCCUACCCCUAAGUCCUAUGAGGGCUACAAAGCCACAACAACCAAAUAAUGCCUAAAUAAUAGUCAUGAAUCCAACUCAUUUUUCUUCCACUUCAAAACUAUAACAUGUCUGUAUGCAAGUGACUGAAAUAACGUCAAUCAAGGAAGAUUUUAGAACUACACAUAGGAUCACACACACACACACACACACACACACACACACACACACACACAGCAACAAAUAUCAGUGCCAGUAUGAGUAGUCCACACUGCCAUAAUUCUAAAUAGAAGAGAGGGGUAUAUACCUUCCAGUGGGUUUGAGAAGAGUCUUCAGUUCUUUCCUUCCCAGUCUUCUUUCCUCACCAUCCCCCUCAGCAAAUUUGUUCAAUUCCAUAACUAUUAUUACCACAAAGGGCCCAGGACCCACAUUUUUAAAUGUCUGCCAGGCAUUGAGUCCAACAAUACCUCUAAUAUAGGCUCUUUCCUGAUUUGCUUAUUAGUUUUCCUAUCAUCUCCUAGAAAACCAAACAUAAAGGUAGAAAUUUCUAGUAUAUAUUCAUCUCUUAUGCUUAAACAACCUUGGCAAACCAGCCAUUCCAGUGCCCUUAGAGCCUCUCAUAGUCUCUUUUUUACCUCUCUGUUUCCAUCAUCAGUACUUAACUAUGGAGUUUAUCAUCAGUACCUGACUAUGGGAUUUAUUUUGUUUCCUUCCUAACUUAGCUUCUUUGCCCAAUAUCUCCCAUUCUCACCCAUUACUCGUUCUUCUAUCUCCUGAAUAAUUCCAACUUGGAUUAGAGCACCGCAGUUCCAGUCAAUAGCCUCCAAUGGUUCCCAGUUGCUCACAAGUCUGUGCAACUCCCCCAACCACCACCAAGACAGGGUUUUUGUGUGUGUCUCUGCCUGUCCUAGAACUCACUUUGUAGCCCAGGCUGGUCUUGAAUUCAUAGUCCCCCCCCCUCCCCCUAUUCUCCUCCACCCUGCCUCUUCUGAAUGAGGGGAUUAAAGAUGCUGCAUACCACCAUUGCCUGUCUGUGCUUCUUAAGUCACAGGAAAGACUCUUCGUAGUCCCUUGCAAGCACCUUUAUGUGUCUCCUAUGCCAGUUAAGUACCACUAUCCUUUCCUCAAACAUCUCCCACUAGCUUCCAACAUCUUCCCACUUAAAAUGUUGUAGUACUAUAUCACUGAUACAAACUCCUGAGUUCCAGAAUUGUUUCUGUCUGAAGGAAUUGCAGGGACAAAAUAUGGAGAAGAACAUGAGAAAAAGGAGGUCCAGUGACAGGUCCAAAUUGGGAUACAACUCAAGGGGAGACCCAGGGUCCUGACACUGUUAUUGAUGCUGACAUACUUGCAGACAGGACCCUUGCAUGGCUACCCUCUGAGAGGCUCAACAUGCAACUGAGUCAAAUGCAGAUAAUGGACAGAAGCCAGGACCCCUGUGGUUGAAUUGGGAAAAACUGGAAGAAGCUGAGGAGGAAGGUGACCCCAUGGGAAGACCAGCAGUCUCAACUAACCUGGACUACUCCCUGGAAUCUCUCAGACACUAAGCCAUUAAUCAGGCAGCAUACACCAGCUGCUAUGAAAUGCCUAACACAUAUACAACAGAGGACUGCUUGGUAUGGCCUCAAUGAGAGAAGAUGCACCUAACCUUCUAGAGACUUGAAGGGAGUGGGGAGGCCUACUCGGGUAGGGGUGGGGACAUCUUGGAGAGGCAGGGAGGAGGUAUGGGAUGCGGAGUAGUAGGGGAUGGGGCAGACCAGGAGGGGGAUGAAGUCUGGACUGUAAAAAGGGAUUAAAGAUUUUUUAAUUAAUUAAUUAAUUAAUUAAAAAAUCAAAACAAAAACCUCCUGGGUUCUUUUUCUCACUACUGUGACAGUCAGCUGAUAGAAGCAUCUCAAGUAAGUAAAGUUUUGUUUUAGUGAACAGUUUGCAGAAUAUCAACUAGUCCUUGCAGUGAGGAGUCAUGGUGGCCAGGUUGACUCUGUUUGUACUAAAAUAUAUUUUGAAGGAGCUGAGACCCACCUUUCAGAAGAUCAGGAAGCAAACUGGAAACCAAUAUAUCACCCUCAUCCUCAAGUGUCAUCCCAGUAUCUAUGUCUGCUGGCUAGGCCUUAUGUCCCAAAGGUCCUACCACUUUCCAAAACAGUAUCAACAGCUAGGAACACCAUUGAAUCUGAAAGUCUGUGGGAGGACAUUUUAGCUCCAAAUACAAGCUUAUGUACCAAACCAAAUGUUUACCAGCAAUGUAGAACCAGUGUCACCAAUUGAAGUCUAUAUAAUGCUUCUUACAGAACAUGCCUCAUUUUUAUAUCUUAUUUCCUGUUAGACUCCACUGCCUAGUUCUAGCUCUGUAAAUAUUCUAACCUAAAAAUAUCAUGUUGCUUAAUUUCCCAAAUUCCAAGCAUUAGCAAAAGGUCUCUAAAUAGUAUACUAUAAAAUGCCAAGGACCAGCUACUUGAAUCAGUAUUGAAUAAUUGAUUGAAAAUAAAAGUGACAGAUCAUAACUGUGAUUCUAGCCCUCUAAGUUGAAUUAAAAUGAUAUCCCAAGUUUAUAAGUAUAUUUAUUGUAUACUUUCUGCUAUAGUAAGUACUAGAAGUAAGUAGUAGGCAGCCACUGAUCUUUCUGUGCUUCUGGUCAUAAAGUAACUAGCAUUUUCCCAUGGGAACAAGUGAUAUUAUUGGGGCACUUUUGACCAAAGACACAUUGUCAAAUAAAUCAUGGCAAUGAAUAACAUGCAACAUAAGCAAGAUAUGACAACCAUAAAAUCUAAUCAUUUUGAAUUAUCAUAUGAGUUUUUCAAAUGUGCAUGAAGACACUGCAUAUUUGUUACACAAAAGAUUGCAAUGCAACACAAAUUAUACUUUCCAUAACUCUCACUAAGGUCACCAAAGCUGAAUGGAAUUUUUUUAUAUUUAGAAGGAUGUUAAGUGUUGGCAUGAAAUGGGAUGGUUCAAAUAAUUCAGUGCUCUUUCAAAAGCAUCAACAAAAAUAGUUUCCAAUGUACCCACAAUGGUUCAACAUGGCAUGUUCAGUUUAACUCUUCAAACCUCAAAGUCAUGUCCAAAAGUAGACUGCUAGAUUUGGAAAACAAAGUCUGAGAUCUGGCCUGGCUCAAGUACUCAUAAUCUGGACCAUAUACAACUUCUCUGAGCCUUGCUGAUCUCAAGCACUAGAGUCUACAACAAUAGUUGCUACCUUACAAAAUUCUAGGGAAAAGAAAUCCAGAGAUAAUAUAACAUAACUGCUUUUAAACUAUAAAGCCUUAUCAAGAAUAAGCUAGUAAGCCUGGUAUGGUGGGAUAGGACUGCAGUCUCAGCACUCGUGAGAUUGGAGAUAUGGUUUGAAGCCAGUCUGAACUCUACAGUGAGACCCUAUUUCUUUAUGGUGGUAUUGUUCACUAUUAGCAGGUUAGAAAUGAAAAGCUAAAUAGACAAGCAGCAUAUUUCUCUUCUACUUAAUUCUUGAAUUUGUUUGGAAACAUGUGAGAUUCUUUCUGGCACUCUUCUUAGGAUCUUUUUUUUUUUCUUUUGGGGUUUUGCACUAUGCUGAAAAGUCAAAGGCAAUUAUCACACAUGAGAACGAGGUUGUUAGUCACUGCGUUAUGGACCACUCUCUGCACCUACACCAAGAAAGGAGAGCUGUUUGCCUUGCUUUGCUUUGCAUUUUCUGCUUGUUUGUCUUGGUGUUUAGGGUAUGCAUGAGAGUAAAAUAUGACUUUUCUUUCCAAAGGGCACACAACCUCUUCUAGUUAGGUCUACUAAUGAGAAAAGGCAAAAGGAAGGAAGGAGGGAAGGAAGGAAGGAAGAGAGAGAGAGAGAGAGAAAGAAAGAAACCAACAAACAAAAUUAGAGAAAAAAGAAGCUUAUGUUGGAUGAGAUUUCUGAGUACUUGUGAGAAAAACUCCAAGAAGCAAGACAAGAGUCUUGUGACAUCAGUUUCAUCAAAAACACAGAAUUGCUCUUGGAUUAUGCUUUCUUGCCCCUCCCAGGUGUAGUGGAUAGGAAUGAGUUUACAUCAGAUUAUUUAUUAUAGCUUGCUAUUGUUAUGUGCUUGUGUGGAAAAAAAAACAUGUUUCUGCCAUGUGCUUGUUUACCUGUCCCAUGUAGCUGGCCAUUAUGAAUGUACACUUUACUCAUGUGUCUCUUUUUAACUCUCAGAGUAUAAAUUGUCUGGUGCUCUGAAUAAAGUUGGCUAUUUCAUAAGACUUUAGCCAGCCUUAAUUAUUGACUCCAUUUCCCAGGUCUCACACCACUUUUAUAGCAACAAACAGCUUCCACGGUGUUAGUGAAAAUGAAGUAUUAGAGAAUUGAAUUAGAGAUUUAAAGUUAGACUUUUAGAGAAGUAAAGAGAAUCUGUUGAGUUCAAGUAAUCUAAAAAGAAUAAAAAUACAUCUACACUAUCCAUCUGUCCUGUUCUAUUGCCCUAUCACACUCAGCCCCAACUGUGAAGGAAGGAAUAAAACAGAUGAUGAAGCAGGACUGCUGGGUAGAUUGAUAGGUACCAAGAGGCUAGCCAAACUUUCUUUACCUCUACCUAGAUCAAACACUUACAAAAGAGCCAGACUGUCCUAAAGUGAGCAAAGAGCCUCGGAUACUAAUAUAGAGAAAGGUGUUCAGGGGAGGUUAGCUUAUGGGAAGAAGCAGAGGCAGCCUGUGCCAGGAUAUGCACUAACUAAUCCCAGCAUCCUAGUAUAUAAGAGGGAACAUGGAACUGGUACCUGAACGACUGCCAUGAUGGGCAGUCUUCUCCAGAAAACCAUUAGACUUGGGUGUUCUUUGUAUACAUGGCUACAGAAAGACUCAACCUCCCUUCCCAACAUCCAUAUAAGUGCCACUCUUAACCCUUCCCUAGAUGAACAUACAAUCUACAGAAAUACAAGAUGUUUGCUGAAACCCACUUCAGCUUAGGGUCUCUGGUUGUUAUUUUAAUCUAUAUAGCACUCCAUCUGUAACACUUCCUAACAAGAAAUUAUUAAACAAUGCCUACUCUUGACUAACCUGGUCUGGAACUUCUCCUGCCUCAUCCUCUCAACUGUUAGGAUAAGCAGGCUUAUUACUAUCUUUAUUGGGCAGAAAAUAUACAUUAAAAUGUUUGUAUACAUUGAAAUGUUUGGUUAGAUGCUAAUUAAAAUCAAAGGUUACAUAUUAAAUCUGUCAACACUGGACAAGCUCACCUAAAAUAAUCUCCUGAACCAAGAAAUUAUCAGGUUUUUAAACACCUCCAACUCAUGAUAAUCUAGUACUACCAUCCCUAUGACAUUUUGUUCUGUUUCACUUAUUUGGGUAUCAAAUGGUUCCUGAAGAUAUCAGGGACAUCUGAAAUGGUUGCUAAAUAUGCAGCAACUAGAGAUGAGGGGUGACCAUACAUCCAAAGGCCACAAAAUUUCUUAAUGGUCAAGCAGCAUCUCUUUGAAUUCCACAUGUAUACAUCAGAGCCACAGUAGGUCCUUCCUCAUACUACUUCUUUUUGUAAUUGUGAAAUAAAACAAUAUCUAUUCAGUGUAUAUAGGUGCUAGGUUAAAAAGCUGACUUAGACCCACAUAAUAAGUUAGGCAGGUUGCUUUUAAAUUAACAAGGUCUCAGAUUCCUCUCAUAAAAUGAGUGGGUUUGUUUAGAGUGAUUAUUACAAUAAUUUUUAUUGACAUCUCUUCAUCUGUACCAGUCAACUUAUCAAGAAUUUACUUGGCCUUCAAGAGACCUUAAAAUUUUUAACACCUCCACAAAAACUUCAGGACAUUGUUCUUUGCAUUUUUUAAGCUCAUCACAAACAUAUCCAAAUUAGUAUCUAGUAAUUUUCUAAUUGCUUUGCUAUGUGUUAGUUCAUUCACAUUUAUACAGAAAACUCCCCUGGAAACCAUAAAGCUUAAUAUUUAAAGUUUUCCACAAUACAUUACACUUAUCUGGCAUUCAUUGAUUAAUCAUUUAAGCUGAACCUGAACAAAGAUACAGAAAACAUGUAUACAGUGGUAACCCUCCAAAAGGGUGACUUUUAUCAGUCUCCUUCAAACUAUUCUUAUGGGCAGCACAACUUGACCAUCUGAUUUGUAGUGGCAUAAGCAAUCAAAAUAUCUGUUGGACAGUGCUACAUUGGCAUGUUACAUUGUACAGGAAGAUUGUUUCCAUCCCCAGUUGGAGAGUUCAAAAGGGAAAAAUAAUGCAACUAAACCUUAGUUUGCUAUACCGUCAUAUUACCUAUUAAUAACGAUUUUAUUCCCAAUAAAAUCAGGUGUGAGAAAAAUUUUACCUAAAAUGAAGAUAAUAAUCAGCUACUAGAAAGGCGGGCAGAAAUUAGACAUUUGAAAACUCCCCCAGUCUUUGGAUGUCAUCAGAAUUCUUAGUAAGAGGAGACUAAGUUUGGAUGUCCUGUGGGUGGGGAUUUACCCACCCUCACCGAAACAGCAGUAGGAUACAGGCUUAACUUGUUCUAGGCAAACCUCCCCCAUUUCCAUUUUCACUCUGCCCCCAAAUAACUAAGGCAUUAGCUAUGUGCUAAGUUCUUCCCUAUAAAAGUAAAUAAAAGUACAAAGAAAGAUUCACACAAAAGUCCUUUCCAGACUAUCACUUAGAUAUUUGAGUCAGGUAUUUUUAUAACAUGAAGCUUUUUUCCCCUGUAAAAGUACAUUUCUUGGGGUUGGGGAUUUAGCUCAGCGGUAGAGCGCUUGCCUAGGAAGCGCAAGGCCCUGGGUUCGGUCCCCAGCUCCGAAAAAAAAAAAAAAAAAGAAAAAAAAAGUACAUUUCUUAAUUCAUCCCUUAUUAUUGCCUUAAUUUCCUUGUUCAAUGAAUUUAAGUUAACUAACACUAUAUGAACACCAAAGUAACAGGUGUAAACCAUGGAUUAACAAAGCCAAUACUAUCGGGCUGAAAUUAGGGCAGUUUACAAAGUGAUCCAAUGAAACUAGACUUGAUAUUCAGGCUUUUAUUAGAUUAAAUGGUAGAGAUUACUAUACUACAGAAAGAAUUCCUUUUGAGACUUUCAUAGCAAGCAUUCAUAGAAUGCUGAGGAGUCUGGAAAAAGGGGGAUUUACUAAGGUGUGGGGUGGAUAGAGAAUAGAGACUAUCAUAGCCCAAACUGUAUUUAAAGGCUACAAAAAUACUGUGUAAAUACCUAGAAAAGAAUUCCAAAAAGAACGUGGUAGGGUUUUACAAUACUGAACAUCUUGAUGUUUAAAACAAAAAGCGGUCAUCUUUACAGAGUGCAUAUCCCCGCUUUUUUUUUUUUUUAAUGGAACUCAGUCUUUUUUUUUUCUUUUAGAUUUAUUCAUUUAUUAUAUAUAAGUACACUGAGGCUGUCUUCAGACACACCAGAAGAGGUGUGAGCCACCAUGUGGUUGCUGGGAAUUGAACUCAGGACCUCUGGAAGAGUAGUUGGGUGCUCUUAACCGCUGAGCCAUCUCUCCAGCCCAUAUCCCUGCUUUUAAAUCUUUCACAGCUUUUGUUGUUGUUGUUGUUGCUGCUGCUGCUGCUGUUGUUGUUUCUAUUUUGUUGCUGUUGUUUUCUGAGACAGGGCUCGAUUUGUAUCCCAGACUGGCCUGGCCUAGAACCUUCCACAGUCAGUCUCCCAGCCUCAACUUGGCAAUUGUUUGCUUUUGUCUUGUGUUUCUGAUCAUCCAAUUAAUUGACCUUCUCAGGGGAAACCUAUCUAGUCUAUCCACACACGGCUUAAAGUGGACUGCUGUAGACACCCUCCUCUAGCCAUGCACAGACACAGCGUAAACUGGACUGGAAAGUUAGCCAAAUCUCCUCACACUUUGGCCUCUACCUCCUCCAUUUAACCUCGGUAAGACCUCCUAGCCUAAAACCUAGUCAGGUUUUCUUACAGCCCUGUCAAAUGAAACGCACAGACCUCAAACAAAACACAGAAAAUGGGUGGUAUCAGUGUCUCUUUUCACCUAGGUCAGUUCUACUCUUCUACACUUCUGAAAGAAGAAACCCCAAACAGUAUGGUUUUCCCAUGCCCCAUAAAAGGCAUAAUCCUGAUCAUAUAUGAGCUCCAGUGCACAUUUCAUUCCUAUGAAAUCACACACGUAUGAGUUGGUUUUGAAAGACUCUGAGGUCCAACUCUAUUGUAUCAUGCCCACCACUCAAAACACAUUUAAUCCUCUGGUAUAAUUUUGUGCUUAAGUUGUUCCAUACAAUCUCACACAGCUACUGAAGACUACAGCCGAUUUGGUAACUUCAAGUCUGGAAUUAAAAAUGAAUAAAUAAACAAAUAAUCCUCUGUUCCACCCCAAUACCGAACCUCCUUUUAAGGAAAAGCUCUCCAGUGACUGCCUACUGUCUCUGCCCCACUGAGGCUUAUCAAGGUCUAACUUGUGCAGCUAUCGGGGAAACAAAAUCGGUACUUGGUCACCUGUCCUGCUUUCACCCAUACCGAAUGGGGAUCUUCCCCACGGACCACAAGAACAGGUUGACCGUUACAGCGUUCGGUCCACUAUUACCCCUCAAUGGGUGCGGCUCCGACAUAGGCUUUUGUAACCUUGACACACAGUUGGGGGGGGUGGAAUCCCCAAAUAGGUCCAGCCAAUCGCCGCAGGAGAACCAAGACGAGACGUGACGUCAAAUGAGAUUAACUCAGCGCGUCACCCCGACGUCAGCCUUUCCUCUGUCGGACGUCCUGUCCUGAGAGCAAAACUCCAGCGACUUUGGGCUCCGCCCCCUUGAGGAAGAGCAGCCAAUGAGGGAGGCUCUGUGCGGAUUCAGACCAAUGAGGAGAGGCCAGGGCUGGGUGCGGGCUCGAGGGUGGGGCGGGCGGCAGUCGUGGAAACCCAAGGUCUUACUGCGCGCAGUAUAUGACAGUACGUCAGCAGCGGGAUGGCCGUAGCUGUGGCGGCGGCUGCAGGAGCCGGAGCAGCCGCGGCCGCAGUGGAGGCUGGAGCCCGAACGGCGUCCGCGGUGGCACCCCGGGGAGUUUAAGAUGGCGGCGGGGGGUGCUGCGGGGCUGCGGGAGGAGCAGCGCUACGGGCUGGCGUGCGGGCGGCUGGGGCAGGACAACAUCACCGUGCUACAUGUGAAGCUCACCGAGACGGCGAUCCGGGCGCUGGAGACUUACCAGAGCCAAAAGAGUUUAAUUCCUUUUCAACCUUCAAUUCAGUUCCAAGGACUCCAAGGGCUUAUGAAAAUUCCCAAAAAUGAUCCCUUCAAUGAAGUCCACAACUUUAACUUCUAUUUGUCAAACGUGGGGAAAGAUAACCCUCAGGGCAGCUUUGACUGCAUCCAGCAAACACUCUCUAGCUCUGGAGCCUCUCAGCUCAAUUGCCUGGGAUUUAUACAGGAUAAAAUUACAGUGUGUGCAACAAAUGAUUCCUAUCAAAUGACUCGAGAAAGAAUGACCCAGGCCGAGGAGGAAUCCCGUAAUCGAAGCACAAAAGUUAUCAAACCCGGUGGACCAUAUGUAGGGAAAAGAGUGCAAAUUCGUAAAGCACCUCAAGCCAUCUCGGAUGCAGUGCCUGAGAGGAAAAGGUCAACGCCCAUGAACCCUGCAAAUACAAUUCGAAAGAUGCAUGGUGGCAGCAGUGUCUCUCAGAGGCCGUACAGGGACAGAGUCAUUCAUUUACUGGCACUAAAAGCCUAUAAGAAACCUGAGCUGCUUGCCCGACUGCAGAAAGAUGGUGUCAAUCAAAAAGACAAGAACUCCUUGGGAGCAAUUUUGCAACAGGUGGCCAAUCUGAAUCCUAAGGACCUCUCCUAUACUUUAAAGGAUUAUGUAUUUAAGGAGCUCCAGCGGGACUGGCCAGGUUACAGUGAGACAGACAAACAGACACUGGAUUUGGUGCUCUCUAGAAAAUUAAAUCCAUCUCAGAAUGCUGGCACUAGCCGGCCAGAGUCUCCCAUGUGUUCCAGCAAAGAUGCUGCCUCAUCUCCUCAGAAACGACCUUUGGAUUCAGAUUUCAUUGAUCCUUUAACGAACAAAAAAGCUCGAAUAUCUCACCUGACAAACAGAGUCCCACCGACAUUAAAUGGCCAUUUGAAUCCCACCAAUGAAAAAUCUUGUGCAAGCCUUCUACCGCCCCCUGCAGCUGCUGCCAUCCCCACCCCCUCACCACUGCCUUCAACCCACCUGCCUGUCUCCAAUCCUACCCAGACUGUAAAUUCCAACUCCAAUUCCCCUAGCACUCCAGAAGGCCGGGGGACUCAAGACCUACCUGUUGACAGUUUUAGUCAAAACAGUAGCAUCUUUGAGGACCAGCAAGACAAAUAUACCUCAAGGACUUGUCUGGAGGAAACAUUACCCUCUAGCUCAGCUUUACUAAAGUGUCCAAAGCCCAUGGAAGAAGAACAUCCAGUGUCUCACAAAAAGUCCAAAAAGAAGUCUAAAAAACACAAGGAAAAGGACCAAAUAAAGAAACAUGACAUUGAGAGCAGGGAGGAAAAGGAGAAAGACCUUCAGAGAGAAGAAACUGCCAAGCUGAGUAAUGACAGUCCAAAUCCCAAUGAAGGAGUUAAAGAAGAGUGCACAGCUUCCAUGGAGCCUUCUUCAACAAUUGAACUCCCAGAUUAUUUGAUAAAAUAUAUUGCUAUUGUCUCUUAUGAACAACGCCAGAAUUACAAGGAUGACUUCAAUGCUGAGUAUGAUGAAUAUAGAGCUUUGCAUGCCAGGAUGGAGACUGUAGCCAGGAGAUUUAUUAAACUGGAUGCACAACGAAAACGCCUUUCUCCAGGUUCAAAAGAGUAUCAGCUGCUGCCAAAUUGCCCUCCAUAAAAGUGUCCCAAGUUGUAUCUCCUCAUCAGUAUUACACCUUGCAGAAUGUUCAUGAAGAAGUCUUACAAGAAUAUCAGAAGAUCAAGCAGUCCAGUCCCAAUUACCAUGAAGAAAAA
Rattus norvegicus (Norway rat) is the source of this 13437-nucleotide non-coding RNA. Lineage: Eukaryota; Metazoa; Chordata; Mammalia; Rodentia; Muridae. The record is from RefSeq and is a predicted model, not a curated record.